CUGCAGCGAGAUUGAAUGCUGGUAUGCUAAUUAAUUGUUGAGCUAAUUUUUUGAAUAUAAUAAAAAUUAUAUCACCUGUAUUAUCCUUAACUAUUGUGCUUAAUUAGUUCUUUAAAAAUUUAAAUAGCAAAAAAAAAAUAUAUUUAUUUAGAUAGAAAAUAUUAAAACUGUAUUUUUUUUAAAUUAUUAAUAUGAUAGAAAAGAUUUUAUUGUUAUAUCAUGGUA
Molecule: long non-coding RNA, 225 nt
Filed under: Elaeis guineensis (African oil palm)
Lineage: Eukaryota; Viridiplantae; Streptophyta; Magnoliopsida; Arecales; Arecaceae
Description: long non-coding RNA (EGUI_LNC050597)
Source: RNAcentral